AGCGAACGCUGGCGGCAGGCCUAACACAUGCAAGUCGAGCGGCCGUAGCAAUACGGCAGCGGCAGACGGGAGAGUAACACGUGGGAACGCGCCCUUCGGUUCGGGAUAACCCAGGGAAACUUGGGCUAAUACCGGAUACGCCCUUACGGGGAAAGAUUUAUUGCCGAAGGAACGGCCCGCGUCCGAUUAGCUAGUUGGUGAGGUAACGGCUCACCAAGGCGACGAUCGGUAGCUGGUCUGAGAGGAUGACCAGCCUCACUGGGACUGAGACACGGCCCAGACUCCUACGGGAGGCAGCAGUGGGGAAUAUUGGACAAUGGGCGCAAGCCUGAUCCAGCCAUGCCGCGUGGGUGAUGAAGGCCCUAGGGUUGUAAAGCCCUUUCAGCGGGGAAGAUAAUGACGGUACCCGCAGAAGAAGCCCCGGCUAACUUCGUGC
This 436-nucleotide ribosomal RNA is filed under the name uncultured bacterium. RNAcentral describes it as "bacterial SSU rRNA". It matches the Rfam family "Bacterial small subunit ribosomal RNA", at positions 29 to 508 of the family's 1533-position model. The record is from RNAcentral.